This 483-nucleotide ribosomal RNA is filed under the name uncultured bacterium. RNAcentral's name for it is "partial 16S ribosomal RNA". It matches the Rfam family "Bacterial small subunit ribosomal RNA", at positions 29 to 507 of the family's 1533-position model. The record is from RNAcentral.
AGUGAACGCUGGCGGCAGGCCUAACACAUGCAAGUCGAGCGGCAGCGCGGGGGCAACCCUGGCGGCGAGCGGCGGACGGGUGAGGAAUUCGUCGGAAUCUGCCUUUUUGUGGGGGAUAACGUAGGGAAACUUACGCUAAUACCGCAUACGUCCUACGGGAGAAAGUGGGGACCGCAAGGCCUCACGCAGAAAGAUGAGCCGACGACCGAUUAGCUGGUUGGUGGGGUAAAGGCCCACCAAGGCGACGAUCGGUAGCUGGUCUGAGAGGAUGAUCAGCCACACUGGGACUGAGACACGGCCCAGACUCCUACGGGAGGCAGCAGUGGGGAAUAUUGGACACUGGGCGCAAGCCUGAUCCAGCCAUGCCGCGUGUGUGAAGAAGGCCUUCGGGUUGUAAAGCACUUUUGUCCGGAAAGAAAUCCCUGGAGCUAAUACCUUCGGGGGAUGACGGUACCGGAAGAAUAAGCACCGGCUAACUUCGUG